UGAGGAAUAUUGGACAAUGGGCGAAAGCCUGAUCCAGCAAUACCGCGUGAGUGAAGAAGGCCUUCGGGUUGUAAAGCUCUUUCAGCAGGGAAAAUAAUGAUGGUACCUGCAAAAGAAGUUCCGGCUAACUCCGUGCCAGCAGCCGCGGUAAUACGGAGGGAACUAGCGUUGUUCGGAUUUACUGGGCGUAAAGAGCGCGUAGGCGGUUUAUUAAGUUAGAAGUGAAAGCCCAGGGCUUAACCCUGGAACUGCUUCUAAAACUGGUAGACUAGAGUACGGGAGAGGAUAGUGGAAUUCCUAGUGUAGAGGUGAAAUUCUUAGAUAUUAGGAGGAACACCGGUGGCGAAAGCGACUAUCUGGAACGUUACUGACGCUGAGGCGCGAAAGCGUGGGGAGCAAACAGG
This 404-nucleotide ribosomal RNA is filed under the name uncultured bacterium. RNAcentral's name for it is "bacterial SSU rRNA". It matches the Rfam family "Bacterial small subunit ribosomal RNA", at positions 355 to 776 of the family's 1533-position model. The record is from RNAcentral.